This 520-nucleotide unclassified non-coding RNA is filed under the name uncultured Glomus. RNAcentral describes it as "SSU rRNA". It matches the Rfam family "Eukaryotic small subunit ribosomal RNA", at positions 569 to 1090 of the family's 1831-position model. The record is from RNAcentral. Lineage: Eukaryota; Fungi; Glomeromycota; Glomeromycetes; Glomerales; Glomeraceae.
AGCAGCCGCGGUAAUUCCAGCUCCAAUAGCGUAUAUUAAAGUUGUUGCGGUUAAAAAGCUCGUAGUUGAAUUUCGGGAUCAAUUAGUCGGUCGUGCCUCUGGUACGUACUGGUUUUAUUGGUUCCUCCCUUCUGACGAAACAUGAUGUCAUUAAUUUGGUGUCGUGGAGAAUCAGGACUGUUACCUUGAAAAAAUUAGAGUGUUUAUAGCAGGCUAACGCUUGAAUACAUUAGCAUGGAAUAAUGAAAUAGGACGUUCGACCCUAUUUUGUUGGUUUCUAGGAUCGACGUAAUGAUUAAUAGGGAUAGUUGGGGGCAUUAGUAUUCAAUUGUCAGAGGUGAAAUUCUUGGAUUUAUUGAAGACUAACUACUGCGAAAGCAUUUGCCAAGGAUGUUUUCAUUAAUCAAGAACGAAAGUUAGGGGAUCGAAGACGAUCAGAUACCGUCGUAGUCUUAACCAUAAACUAUGCCGACUAGGGAUCGGAUGAUGUUAAUUUUUUAAUGACUCAUUCGGCGCCUUA